UACGUAGGGUGCGAGCGUUGCCCGGAUUUAUUGGGCGUAAAGGGCGCGUAGGCGGCUCGGCACGUCCGUUGUGAAAUCGCCCGGCUCAACUGGGCGGGGUCAGCGGAUACGGUCGAGCUUGAGCAAGCUAGGGGGCAAUGGAAUUCCCGGUGUAGUGGUGGAAUGCGUAGAUAUCGGGAGGAACACCAGUGGCGAAGGCGGUUGCCUGGAGCUUUGCUGACGCUGAGGCGCGAAAGCGUGGGGAGCGAGUCCGG
RNAcentral lists this ribosomal RNA (254 nucleotides) under uncultured bacterium. Its description in RNAcentral is "partial 16S ribosomal RNA". It matches the Rfam family "Bacterial small subunit ribosomal RNA", at positions 524 to 777 of the family's 1533-position model. The record is from RNAcentral.